UACGGAGGGGGCUAGCGUUGUUCGGAAUUACUGGGCGUAAAGCGCGCGCAGGCGGCUCUUUAAGUCUCGUGGUCAAAUGCCGGGGCUCAACCCCGAGCGUGCCGGGGAUACUGGAGGGCUGGAGACAGGUAGAGGCAAGCGGAAUUCCGGGUGUAGCGGUGGAAUGCGUAGAGAUCCGGAAGAACACCGGAGGCGAAGGCGGCUUGCUGGACCUGGUCUGACGCUGAGGCGCGAAAGCGUGGGGAGCGAACAGG
This 254-nucleotide ribosomal RNA is filed under the name uncultured bacterium. Its description in RNAcentral is "partial 16S ribosomal RNA". It matches the Rfam family "Bacterial small subunit ribosomal RNA", at positions 524 to 776 of the family's 1533-position model. The record is from RNAcentral.